RNAcentral lists this non-coding RNA (26 nucleotides) under Mus musculus (house mouse). The record is from RNAcentral. Lineage: Eukaryota; Metazoa; Chordata; Mammalia; Rodentia; Muridae.
UAGGCUUCUGUUUACAGUACCUGGGU